CUGGAACAGAAGGAAGGCUUCAUGGAGGAGGUGGCACUUGAGGAGAAGAAGAGGAUAACCAACAGCCAACCUGACUGCUCACUUACUAUGUGCCGGAUGUUUCACACAGGUGAUCUCAUGUCGUCCUCACACCAACUCUGUGAGGUCGGCGCCAAUAUCAUGCCCAAGAUCACACUGCUAGUAAGUUCUGGGACUAGAACUCUGGCCUGUGUGUCUUCAGAACGUUCGUGUCCCUAACCAAUCUGUUGUAGUACCUGGAGGAUGUAGACAACUGGAAGUGAAGUUGAAGGGGAUGCCCUGCGCAAAGAUGGGGGAGGGCGAGGGGGAGGAUCAGGGAGGGAUAAGGAGAAGGAAGAUGGAAUCGUGUAGCAUGGCUGCAGCACAUGCUGAGGGGACUGGGAGAUGGGCUGGACCGAAGGAGGCUGCUGGUCAUUUGGCAGGAUGCGGGGGAUGGAAGGUUUCAGAUAGGGAAGUGACAUGAUCAGAGCUAAGCUUCAGAGACUGCUCUGGCAGCAGAGCAGGAGGUGGAUUGAAAGAAGAAAGCCUUAAGACAGGGAGGCCAAGUAGAAAACCCAUGCAAUAGUCCAAGCAAACAGGGACCAAGUAGGAUACUGGCAGCAAGCACAGAAAACCAGAGGCAGAUUUCAGACAUGCUGCAGGGAUAAAAUGAAGUGGACCUGGCUACUGAAUGGGCGUGGAAGGGGAGUAAUCCUGGGGCAUGGGAAGGGGAGUCAUUAAAUGAAACUAAACUGUCAGGGUUUGAGCUUCGGCACCCAGAAGGCUAGUGGUGGCAAUGACUGAUACCCUGGCACCAAGCUAACAUAAAAUCAAAAUAUGCAAGCCUGGAUUUUUACUACUAGAUUUAAAAAAAAAAAAAAAAA
This is a long non-coding RNA of Sapajus apella (tufted capuchin), 881 nucleotides long. RefSeq lists it as uncharacterized. The record is from RefSeq and is a predicted model, not a curated record. The transcript is spliced from 2 exons. Lineage: Eukaryota; Metazoa; Chordata; Mammalia; Primates; Cebidae.